AUGGAAACACAGCAUGGCUUCUCAAAUGUCAGCUUCUCAAACUCUCACUUGAAGUUGAUGAAGGAUCCUUCACUGAAGUAUGACCAUCUCUUCCACCUCUGUGAAAGACUGGCAGCAUUUAGCCCCUGCCCUAGAGAUUUGUGGAUCUUUGGACUUGAGAGAGACAACUUAGGGUAUCUGGUGGAAGAAAUUUUUAAGUGGCAAAGGAUUCAAGAUGUGACAUGGGUGCUGUUAAAGACAUUCUGUUUUAAAGGAGAAAUGGCAUAAAAGUUCAGAAAAUUUGUAGCCUGACAAAUCAAUGGAAAAGAAAAUCCCAUUCAAGCCAGCUGCAACAAUUUGCACAAGUAAUGAGGAGCCAAAUGUUGAUCCCCAAGAUCACAGAGAAAAUAUCUCCAGGGCAUGUCAGAGGUUUUCAUGGCAGCAUCUCCCAAUACAGGCUUAGAGGCCUAGAAGCUAGAAGAAAAAUAUGGUUUCAUGUGAAGGGCCCAAUGUCUCUGUGCUGUGUGCAGUUGGGGGACUUGGUGUCCUGCAUCCAAGCUGUUCCAGCUGUGACUAAAGGGGGCCAAGAUACAGCUUAGGCUGUGAGGAUUCAAGCCCCAAGCCUUGGCAGCUUCCAUGUGGUGUUGAGCCUGAAGGCAUACAGAAGUCAAGAACUGAAUUUGGGAAACCUCCACCUAGAUUUCAGAGGAUGUAUGGAAAUGCCUGGAUGUCCAGGCAGAAGUUUCCUGCAUGGGUGGGGAUCUCAUGGAUAACUUCUGCCAGGGCAGUGCAGAAGGGAAAUGUGAGAUCAGAACCCCCACACAGAGUCCUUACUGGGGUGCUGCCUAGUGGAACUGUGAGAAGAGGUCCACUACCAGAAUGGUAGGUCUACCUACAGCUUGCACUGUGCACCUGGAAAAGCCACAUAUACUCAACACCAGCCCGUGAAAGCAGCUGAGAGGGAGGCAGUACCCUGCAAAGACACAAGAGCAUAGCUGCCCAAGACCAUGGGAACCCACCUCUUGCAUCAGUGUGACCUGUAUGGGAGAUAUGGAGUGAAAGGAGAUAAUUUUGGAGCUUUAAGAUUAGACUGCCCCACUGGAUUUCAGACUUGCAUGGGCCAUGUAGCCACUUUGUUUUGGCCAAUUUCUCCCAUUUGGAAUGGCUAUAUUUACCCAAUACCUGUACCCCCAUUAUAUCUAGGAAGUAACUAACUUGCUCUUAAUUUUAAAGGCUUAUAAGCACAAGGGUCUUGCCUUAUCUCAGAUGAGACUUUGGACUGUGGACUUUUGAGUUAAUGCUGAACUGAGUUGAGACUUUGGGGGACUAUUGGGAAGGCAUAAUAGGUUCUGAAAUGUGAAGACAUGAGAUUUUGGAGGGGCCAGGGCGAAUGAUAUGGUUUGGCUGUGUCCCCACCCAAAUCUCAUCUUGACUUGUAACUCUCAUAUUUCCCAUGUGUCAUGGGAGGCACCUGGUGGGAGGUGAUUAAAUUAUGGGGGAGGAUCUUUCCUGCACUGUUCUUGUGAUAGUGAAUAAAUCUCACAAGAUCUGUUGGCUUUAAAUACAGGAGUUUUCCUGCACAAGCUCUCUUUUUGCCUGCUGCCAUCCAUGUAAGAUGUGACUUGCUCCUCCUUGCCUACCACCAUGAUUGUGAGGCCUCCCCGGCCAUGUGGAACUGUAAAUCCAUUAAACUUCUUUCUUUUGUAAAUUGCCCAUUCUUGAUUACGUCUUUAUCAGCAAUGUGAAAACUAACUGAUACACUUCCCCAUGUCUUCUUGCCAUUGAGUUACUGUACUGUUUUCUCAGAUGGAUCUGCUAUAGUCCUUGCUAACUUCACACCUUCAACAUGUCUGCUUCCCUCAUCACAAUGUUCUGUGAAUGACAAGGAGUAAAUCAAUGGCUCCACCAAUAGAGAUGUAUGCUAGCAGGUAGGAUCACCCCUGUGGAUGUUUCACAGGAUUUAGAUAGAUAUAAGAGAGUCAUUUGGGACUUUCCUCUCUAUCAAUUCCAAAACAGGCAAAGAAGAAAAAUAUUAGCAUAUUCAUGUCACCACAGCCAGAAUUCUGGCAGUAAAAUUAAGUAGAAAAUUGAGACCACGAAUUCAUAUAACUGUAAGCAAAAUAGGCUUUUUUUGUCAAGCCUUGUUUGGAGAGUUUCUGUGAAUAUUCCUUAAGCCUGAGGUUUACCUUCCUUAUUUUGAUUGUUGAUUUCUUCAUGUUAAAGAAAGACUUAAAAUAACUACAAACACUGGUCAAUAACUUAAAAAGUUUUGUUUUUUUCCCCCCAAAUUCUGGGACACUGGUUGAUCAAACUUUGGCCUAAGAUACUACAUUAGUUGCCUAGAGAAUAGCCCUUGUCUUUCUCCUCCUAGCCUUUUUCUUUCUCCUUCUCUUCCUUUUCUUUCUUUGUUUCCUCCUCUUCUUCCUCAUUUGCAUUCCUCCACCCUAAGUUUCCCCCUCAUCUUUCCAAAUCUUUUUGGUAACUGUCACCUUGUUUUUUUUUAACUUAGUUUUAUUUUAAGUUUGCAUAUGAUUUAAAGAAUUAAAUAGUUCCACGAAUUAUUUUAUGUAAAAACUGCAUUCUCUUCCUACCCAGUUUCCUUUACACUAUGAACAACCACUCUUAAAUCUUUAAGUUGAUUCUGUUUGAAUUUACUUCUAUAUCUCUAAGUAGCAUGUUAAUAUUGCCACUUGUUAAUUUUAUCAGUUUUAGGCAUUAUUAGUUUAUUUUUAUUAUGGACCAUUGUUUAGCGUUCACUCUCCAUGUUUUCAUCCAUUCCUACAUGCUUCAUGUUUAUUGAAAUUUUGAGUGAACUUCUGUAGCAUUUUGUAAAAAAUUGCUUGGUUUUUCAUUUCCAGUGUUACUUUUGAAAAGUUCAAUAUUAAUUUUGCUGUUUCUAUGAAAUCUGGUUUUGUUUUUGUUUUCUGUCAGCUGUUGUUAUCGUUGUUUUUUGUUGUUCCACUUCUAGAAGCUGAUGGUUUUUCAUCCCCAGUCUUCUGAAAUUUCACAAUCACAUGUUAUCAGGAGAAACCCACCCCUGAUAUUCAACGUGAGUUCUUUUUUAUUUCUCUAAGCGUCGGCUGGUCUGAGAAAUAAACGGAAAGAAUACAAAGAAAUUUUAAAGCUGGGUGUCCAGGGGAGACAUCACAUGUCGGGAGGUCCAUGAUGCUCCCUGAGCCGUAAAACCAGAAAGUUUUUAUUAGUGAUUUUCAAAAGAGGAGGGAGUGUAUGAAUAGGGUAUGGGUCACAGAGCUCAUAUGCUUCACCCAGUAAUAAAAUAUCACAAAACAAAUGGAGGCAGGGCAAGAUCACAGGACCACAGGAUGGGGUGAAGUUAAAAUUGCUAAUGAAGUUUCGGGCAUGCAUUGUCAUUGAUAACAUCUUAUCAGGAGACAGGUUUGAGAGCAGACAACCAGUCUCGACAAAAUUUAUUAGGUGGGAAUUUCCUCAUCCUAAUAAGCCUGGGAGGGCUAUAGGAGACCUGGGCUUAUUUCAUCCCUUUGUCUAUGACUGUAAAAGACAGCCACCCCUAAAGCGGCGAUUUUAGAGGCCUCCCUUCAGAGACGCAUUCUCUUUCUCAGGGAUGUUCCUUGCUGAGAAAAAGAAUUCAGCGACAUUUCUCCUAUUUGCUUUUGAAAGAAGAGAAAUAUGGUGCUAUUCUGCCCGGCUCACCGGCAGUGAGAGUUUAAGGUUAUCUCCCUUGUUCCCUGAACAUUCCUGUUAUCCUGUUCUUUUUUCAAGGUGCCCAGAUUUCAUAUUGUUCAAAUACACAUGCUCUACAAACAAUUUGUGCAGUUAAUGCAAUCAUCACAGGGUCCUGAGGUGGCAUACAUCUUCCUCAGUUUACAAAUAUGAUGGGAUUAAGAGAUUAAAGACAGGCAUAGGAAAUCAUAAGGGUAUUGAUUGGGGAAGUGAUAAGUGUCCAUAAAGUCUUCACAAUCUAUGUUCAGAGACUGCAGUAAAGACAGGUGUAAGAAAUUGUAAAAGUAUUAAUUUGGGGAACUAAUAAAUGUCCAUGAAAUCUUCACAAUUUACGUUCUUCUGCCAUGGCUUCAGCCAGUCCCUCCGUUCGGGGUCCCUGACUUCCUGCAACAACAUGUCUUGGUGUUGAUUAUUUCAUUCGUGGUGCUAAACUCUCUAUGUUAUAUUUCAAAAGGAAAUGAUAUAUUCUCAGUUCUAUAAUUUAUUUUUGAUUUAUUUCUUUCAUGAUUUUCUUCUUUGUUGUUUUUUACACUAUGCUAUUUAUGCUGUUUUCUUUCUGUUCCCACUUUCUAGAACUCUUACUAUUUUGAUAUUGCAACUCCUAGACUUUCUAAUUUUAAUACAUUUUAUUUUUACAUCUCUUAGCCCUUUUGCUCUAUAUCUUAAUACAUGCCCUAAAUUUUAACUUAUGUCUUAGUUUACAUUUUAUUUUCUUCUAUAUACUUUUUAAUUUUUAAGAGAUGUUUUUUCCUCCAAACACUCAUUUUUUAUAGCAUCCUAUUCUGGCCUAGUGGAUGUAAUAUAAUUUUUAUGUCUCUGGAGAGGUUAGAGCUAGUCAUUUUGAAGGUAUUUUUCUCAUCAUCUAGUAUUUUCUCCAAGUUACCUUUUUACUCUGUUUUUAGUGUUUGUUUUGGCCUCUGUAUUUCAUGUCAAGUGCACUCCUUAAAUAUCAGGUUACCCUUGAAAGAAUUGAAGAUUCUUUCUUUCAAUUUCUUGCCUGGCUGCUAAUUUUCCAGGGGCUAAGUGAGAAAAAAACUUUGGGAACUCAAUAAUACAUGUAUUUUGCUUACUUCUUUUCUUUAUGGACUCCAAUCUUCUGCUUGGCCUGCUUUCCCCUAGUCUAGAAACCCUUAGUUUGACCCAAUCCAGAAACUUAGAACCUUAACCCCUUUCUGGAUAGAGCAGAAGCAUUAUAUUCCUGCAAGAAUAGGGUAUGGGAAGGUCUACUGCACCUUACAAAGAUUUCUUAAUCAGCCAUUUACAGUCCUACCUUUUUCCCACUUCCAAGGAUAACUAUUAAAGUAAUUCUGGAGUCUUUUGUAGGUUCCAUGGUAUAAAUAUGACUGUUUCUCUGUUUUGCUCACUGUUGCCUUAGGGUUCAGUCUUCUUGAGUGGACCAGGUUAGUCAUCCUUCCUACUUCAGCUUUCCAGCUUUUACAUUUUUUUGCCAUUGUUAUCUCCUUCCAUCUCUUUGGCCUUGUUAUCGUUUAUCUAUAAACGUUUUUUCCAGUUGUCUUUAAUAGUAUUUAAGGAAGGAGUAGAAUACAAUAUAUAUAUCCAA
This 5242-nucleotide long non-coding RNA is filed under the name Papio anubis (olive baboon). Its description in RNAcentral is "lncRNA (ENSPANG00000047291.1)". Lineage: Eukaryota; Metazoa; Chordata; Mammalia; Primates; Cercopithecidae. The record is from RNAcentral.